UGCUGCAUGGCUGUCGUCAGCUCGUGUCGUGAGAUGGUUGGGUUAACGUCCCCGUAACGAGCGCCAACCCUUGUCCUUAGUUACCAGCACGUUAUGGUGGCACUCUAAGGAGACUGCCGGUGACAAACCGGAGGAAGGUGGGGAUGACGUCAAGUCAUCAUGGCCCUUACGGCCUGGGCUACACACGUGCUACAAUGGUCGGCACAAAGGGUUGCCAAGCCGCGAGGUGGAGCUAACUCCCAAUAAAACCGAUCGUAGUCCGGAUCGCAGUCUGCAACUCGACUGCGUGAAGUCGGAAUCGCUAGUAAUCGUGAAUCAGAAUGUCACGGUGAAUACGUUCCCGGGCCUU
This 349-nucleotide ribosomal RNA is filed under the name uncultured Pseudomonas sp. Its description in RNAcentral is "bacterial SSU rRNA". It matches the Rfam family "Bacterial small subunit ribosomal RNA", at positions 1039 to 1382 of the family's 1533-position model. The record is from RNAcentral. Lineage: Bacteria; Pseudomonadati; Pseudomonadota; Gammaproteobacteria; Pseudomonadales; Pseudomonadaceae.